Molecule: ribosomal RNA, 552 nt
Filed under: Clavaria rosea
Lineage: Eukaryota; Fungi; Basidiomycota; Agaricomycetes; Agaricales; Clavariaceae
Description: partial large subunit ribosomal RNA
Rfam family: Eukaryotic large subunit ribosomal RNA
Source: RNAcentral
CCCUAGUAACUGCGAGUGAAGAGGGAAAAGCUCAAAUUUAAAAUCUGGCAGUCUCUGGCUGUCCGAGUUGUAAAUUGGAGAAGUGUUAUCCGCGCUGGCCUGUGCAUAAGUCUCUUGGAAAAGGGCAUCAUAGAGGGUGACAAUCCCGUCUUUGGCACAGACUACCAGAGCUUUUGUGAUGCGCUCUCAAAGAGUCGAGUUGUUUGGGAAUGCAGCUCCAAAUGGGUGGUAAAUUCCAUCUAAAGCUAAAUAUUGGCGAGAGACCGAUAGCGCACAAGUACCGUGAGGGAAAGAUGAAAAGAACUUUGGAAAGAGAGUUAAACAGUACGUGAAAUUGUUGAAAGGGAAACGCUUGAAGUCAGUCAUGUCUCAUUGAAAUCAACCUGGCACUUGUGUCUGGUGUACUUUCUGUGGAACAGGUCAGCAUCAGUUUUGACCGCUGGAGAAAGGCCUUGGGAAUGUGGCAUCUUUUUUAAGAUGUGUUAUAGCCCUUGGACCACAUACAGUGGUUGGGACUGAGGCACUCGGUGUAUGAUCAGCUCUAGGGCUUUU